Molecule: RNA transcript, 1734 nt
Organism: Thalassophryne amazonica
Lineage: Eukaryota; Metazoa; Chordata; Actinopteri; Batrachoidiformes; Batrachoididae
Gene: lmo4b
Gene name: LIM domain only 4b
Exons: 6
Source: RefSeq, a predicted model, not a curated record
GUCUCUUCCUGUCAACGACACAUGUAGAAGGAGCAGAGUUGAGGACGGCAGCGGUCUUAUUUAGCAGGCUCUCGGCUCUUUCUGAGGACAUUUCGGCGUGUGUAUUCGUCAUGGACUCGCUCGGCUCGCGCUAAAGCGGGGACCUCGCGGUGGAAAUACGCUCUGAAGAGUCUCUAUUCGGCGCUCCGUCCUGACGGAGCCGCGUUGUGUUUGUUUUCUUCACCUGCACUUUUCUGGGACCGAGUCGCCGUUUGGUUCCGUGUCAGUUCACAGACACAGAGGGACAAUGGUGAAUCCUGGAGGCAGCAACCAGCCACCACCAGUGAGCACAGCUUCGCUGUCCUGGAAGCGAUGUGCAGGAUGCGGAGGUAAAAUCGCAGACCGCUUCCUCCUUUACACCAUGGACAGCUACUGGCACAGCCGAUGUCUCAAGUGCUCAUGCUGCCAGGCCCAACUGGGUGAAAUAGGCACAUCGUGCUACACAAAAAGUGGCAUGAUCCUUUGUCGAACUGACUAUAUCAGAUUAUUUGGAAACAGUGGCGCCUGCAGUGCUUGCGGUCAGUCCAUUCCAGCUAGCGAACUGGUGAUGAGGGCGCAGGGCAAUGUGUACCAUCUGAAGUGUUUCACAUGUUCCACUUGCCGCAACAGACUUGUUCCUGGGGAUCGGUUCCACUACAUCAACGGCAGCCUGUUCUGUGAACACGACAGACCCACAGCGCUCAUCAAUGGCCAUUUGAGUUCACUGCAGACAAACUCACUACUGCCUGACCAGAAGCAGCACAAAGGUGAAUACACAGACUGGUUCAGAUGAAGAGAACGAUGGUUUGCCCAAGAGCAGCACGCAGUGUUCAAACCCAAACACAAGGUGUGCUAGGUGGAAGCUAUGCAGGAUGUGUGCCUUCAUUUUAGCCCUUACUCAUCAUCACCUGAAACUGAGCGGAUCAGCAGCUCAGCCGCUUAGCGUUGCUCCCAGGAACCCUCACCCGUUUCCCCUGUAACAUGAUUUUUGCAGCCCAUGCCCAACGCUCAGCCCACAACCACGACUUUCCCCUAACAAGAGAGGAUACUUGCACUUAAUGCACCUGAUUUGAGAUGCUGAGGACUUGGUGACCUUGGAAUUAAAGGAGACUGAUCAGAAUCUGAGAGACUCUUCAAGAAGAGAAAAUGAAAUGAUGUUGCAACUGAAGCGAGACGAAUGGUAAAAUAUAAAUGAGGUCGAGGAAAUACGGUCUACUUUUCUUUGGUUAAAGACAUUUUGGGGAAACUGGGAACCUUUUUAAUUUUCUGUCUUUCUUUAGUAUCCUCAUUUCCCAGCAACACAGUGUUCCCACUUUCUAUAUUUUAAGUGUUGUUGAAGGGAAAUACUCUUCCCCUCCCUCCUUUGGUGGUAUAUUAAAAAUGGGGAUUUAAAAAGAAAUUGUGGCUUUUUGUGGAAAACAAAUCAUGAACACUCUUGGUGUAUUUGUAAAACUACCAUGUAUGUACAGUAUGCAUGUGAAUGUCGUCCAGGUGUGGCUACCGUACGUUGGACCCUCCGCACUCUGCUCCGGUCCUUUCUCCUCCCCUUUUCAAACCAGUUCAUGCUAAACAGAAGAAUUUUGCUUAUAGUCAGUAAUGUAGAGCUCAUCACCAACAUGUAAAUGCUGAAUGAAAGAGAAAUUUAUUUGUGAUAUUUUCCAAGACAUUUGCUCCAGUAUGGUGUAUUUAAUUAAUAAAAAUAUUGAAGAUUUAAAA